GACGAACGCUGGCGGCGUGCCUAAUACAUGCAAGUAGAACGCUGAAGGAGGAGCUUGCUUCUCUGGAUGAGUUGCGAACGGGUGAGUAACGCGUAGGUAACCUACCUGGUAGCGGGGGAUAACUAUUGGAAACGAUAGCUAAUACCGCAUAAGAGUAGAUGUCGCAUGACAUUUGCUUAAAAGGUGCAAUUGCAUCACUACCAGAUGGACCUGCGUUGUAUUAGCUAGUUGGUGAGGUAACGGCUCACCAAGGCAACGAUACAUAGCCGACCUGAGAGGGUGAUCGGCCACACUGGGACUGAGACACGGCCCAGACUCCUACGGGAGGCAGCAGUAGGGAAUCUUCGGCAAUGGACGGAAGUCUGACCGAGCAACGCCGCGGGAGUGAAGAAGGGUUUCGGAUCGUAAAGCUCUGUUGUAAGAGAAGAACGAGUGUGAGAGUGGAAAGUUCACACUGUGACGGUAUCUUACCAGAAAGGGACGGCUAACUACGUG
RNAcentral lists this ribosomal RNA (495 nucleotides) under uncultured bacterium. RNAcentral's name for it is "partial 16S ribosomal RNA". It matches the Rfam family "Bacterial small subunit ribosomal RNA", at positions 28 to 507 of the family's 1533-position model. The record is from RNAcentral.